This is a long non-coding RNA of Columba livia (rock pigeon), 752 nucleotides long. RefSeq lists it as uncharacterized. The transcript has 2 exons. The record is from RefSeq and is a predicted model, not a curated record. Lineage: Eukaryota; Metazoa; Chordata; Aves; Columbiformes; Columbidae.
CGAUCGCGCUCCCCUGAAGCAUCGGCGCUCGAUUGGGCCGCCUGCGCGGCGGCGCCGCCGGGAGCGGAGGUUCCGGGGCGGUGGUGCCGGUACCGGGGGCGGGAUCGCCCCCGAACCCCGUGUGGGGCCCUCAGCGCCGGGGGUGGGCCCAGAGCGGGCUCGGGGGUGUGAGGAAGGGAUGUCUGGGCCCAGAGCGGGCUCGGGGGUGUGAGGAAGGGAUGUCGGGGCCCAGAGCGGGCUCGGGGGUGCGAGGAAGGGAUGUCGGGGCCCAGAGCGGGCUCGGGGGUGCGAGGAAGGGAUGUCGGGGCCCAGAGCGGGCUCGGGGGUGUGAGGGCCGGGUCGGCGUCUGGUCAAAAGGCAGUUCUGAAUCUUCAAAUACCCGCUGUCAGCACUGGGGGAGCCUUGACAGCGGCUGUGUGGCCUGUGCCAGGAGUUAGAGAUUCCUAGUAACAGAAAGAAAUAAAAUUCCAAGUUAACAGGGGUGUGCCUGAACGAGGAGAGGCCUCGAAGGAGAAAAAGGAGUUUUAGCGGUGGUUGGGAGGUCUGGAUUAAGAAGAGCUCAGAGCAGAAAGGGACCAUCAGCAUGUGGCCCUUUGAAACUAAAGGUACAGAGGCUCGAAAGUAAUGUGUUCCAGGCUCAGGGUGUUGGUGUUUGUUCUGUUCUUCAAAGGCCGUGGUUCUGUAUUACAGGUUUUCUUGCUGCAGUCAUCUUAUUCAUGCAAUAAAUGAACCACCAUGAUCUCUGUUUAUAA